UGUGGGAGCGAGCCUGCUCGCGAAUGCGUCGGUGCAUUCGGCAUUGAUGUGUCAGGCAGAACGCUUUCGCGAGCAGGCUCGCUCCCACA
This 89-nucleotide unclassified non-coding RNA is filed under the name Pseudomonas mandelii. Lineage: Bacteria; Pseudomonadati; Pseudomonadota; Gammaproteobacteria; Pseudomonadales; Pseudomonadaceae. The record is from RNAcentral.